Molecule: ribosomal RNA, 468 nt
Filed under: uncultured bacterium
Lineage: Bacteria
Description: partial 16S ribosomal RNA
Rfam family: Bacterial small subunit ribosomal RNA
Source: RNAcentral
GACGAACGCUGGCGGCGUGCUUAACACAUGCAAGUCGAACGGAAAGGCCCUGCUUUUGUGGGGUGCUCGAGUGGCGAACGGGUGAGUAACACGUGAGUAACCUGCCCUUGACUUUGGGAUAACUUCAGGAAACUGGGGCUAAUACCGGAUAGGAUCUCCUGCUGCAUGGUGGGGGUUGGAAAGUUUCGGCGGUUGGGGAUGGACUCGCGGCUUAUCAGCUUGUUGGUGGGGUAGUGGCUUACCAAGGCUUUGACGGGUAGCCGGCCUGGGAGGGUGACCGGCCACGUUGGGACUGAGAUACGGCCCAGACUCCUACGGGAGGCAGCAGUGGGGAAUAUUGCACAAGGGGCGGAACCCUGAUGCAGCAACGCCGCGUGCGGGAUGACGGCCUUCGGGUUGUAAACCGCUUUCGCCUGUGACGAAGCGUGAGUGACGGUAAUGGGUAAAGAAGCACCGGCUAACUACGUG